This 167-nucleotide small nuclear RNA is filed under the name Lepeophtheirus salmonis (salmon louse). RNAcentral describes it as "U1 spliceosomal RNA". It matches the Rfam family "U1 spliceosomal RNA". From Rfam's summary of the family: U1 is a small nuclear RNA (snRNA) component of the spliceosome (involved in pre-mRNA splicing). Its 5' end forms complementary base pairs with the 5' splice junction, thus defining the 5' donor site of an intron. The record is from Rfam by way of RNAcentral. Lineage: Eukaryota; Metazoa; Arthropoda; Copepoda; Siphonostomatoida; Caligidae.
AUACUUACCUGGCUAGGAGGUUAACUGUGAUCAAGAAGGCAGUUCCUCAGGGGUGAGGGCCUUCCAUUGCACUAUUCGGUGGGCUUGACCUCCUCCAUUAUCCCAAAUGUGGAUAACUGGAUAGCAUUAUUUCUGGUAGUGGGGAUCUGCGUGCGCGCUAAUCCCCU